Molecule: ribosomal RNA, 688 nt
Filed under: uncultured Bacteroidales bacterium
Lineage: Bacteria; Pseudomonadati; Bacteroidota; Bacteroidia; Bacteroidales
Description: bacterial SSU rRNA
Rfam family: Bacterial small subunit ribosomal RNA
Source: RNAcentral
AACGCUAGCUACAGGCUUAACACAUGCAAGUCGAGGGGUCUUUUGGAGCUUGCCUUUAAAAGCGGCCGGCGCCCGGGUGAGUAACGGCGUAUCCAACCUUGCCUUCAUAUUGGGAUAGCCUUCCGAAAGGAAGAUUAAUACCGAAUAACAUGAGAAAGUUGCCUGAUUCUCUCAUGAAAGCUCCGGCGAUGAAGGAUGGGGAUGCGUUCCAUUAGGUAGUAGGCGGGGUAACAGCCCACCUAGCCGACGAUGGAUAGGGGUUCUGAGAGGAAGGUCCCCCACACUGGAACUGAGACACGGUCCAGACUCCUACGGGAGGCAGCAGUGAGGAAUAUUGGUCAAUGGGCGCAAGCCUGAACCAGCCAAGUAGCGUGAAGGAUGACUGCCCUAUGGGUUGUAAACUUCUUUUAUACGGGAACAAACCUCGGUACGUGUACCGAAUUGCGUGUACCGUAUGAAUAAGCAUCGGCUAACUCCGUGCCAGCAGCCGCGGUAAUACGGAGGAUGCGAGCGUUAUCCGGAUUUAUUGGGUUUAAAGGGAGCGUAGGUGGUCUGUUAAGCCAGCUGUGAAAUACUGUAGCUCAACUACAGCCGUGCAGUUGGAACUGGCGGACUUGAGUACACUAGAGGAAGGUGGAAUUCGUGGUGUAGCGGUGAAAUGUUUAGAUAUCACGAAGAACUCCGAUUG